UGGGGAAUAUUGCACAAUGGGCGCAAGCCUGAUGCAGCCAUGCCGCGUGUAUGAAGAAGGCCUUCGGGUUGUAAAGUACUUUCAGCGGGGAUGAAGGGAGUAAAGUUAAUACCUUUGCUCAUUGACGUUACCCGCAGAAGAAGCACCGGCUAACUCCGUGCCAGCAGCCGCGGUAAUACGGAGGGUGCAAGCGUUAAUCGGAAUUACUGGGCGUAAAGCGCACGCAGGCGGUUUGUUAAGUCAGAUGUGAAAUCCCCGGGCUCAACCUGGGAACUGCAUCUGAUACUGGCAAGCUUGAGUCUCGUAGAGGGGGGUAGAAUUCCAGGUGUAGCGGUGAAAUGCGUAGAGAUCUGGAGGAAUACCGGUGGCGAAGGCGGCCCCCUGGACAAAGACUGACGCUCAGGUGCGAAAGCGUGGGGAGCAAACA
This 427-nucleotide ribosomal RNA is filed under the name uncultured bacterium. Its description in RNAcentral is "partial 16S ribosomal RNA". It matches the Rfam family "Bacterial small subunit ribosomal RNA", at positions 355 to 774 of the family's 1533-position model. The record is from RNAcentral.